Molecule: ribosomal RNA, 424 nt
Filed under: uncultured bacterium
Lineage: Bacteria
Description: bacterial SSU rRNA
Rfam family: Bacterial small subunit ribosomal RNA
Source: RNAcentral
UGGGGAAUAUUGGACAAUGGGCGCAAGCCUGAUCCAGCCAUGCCGCGUGAGUGAUGAAGGCCCUAGGGUUGUAAAGCUCUUUCGGCGGGGAAGAUAAUGACGGUACCCGCAAAAGAAGCCCCGGCUAACUUCGUGCCAGCAGCCGCGGUAAUACGAAGGGGGCUAGCGUUGUUCGGAAUCACUGGGCGUAAAGGGCGCGUAGGCGGAUCCUUAAGUCAGGGGUGAAAUCCUGGAGCUCAACUCCAGAACUGCCUUUGAUACUGAGGAUCUCGAGUUCGGGAGAGGUGAGUGGAACAGCGAGUGUAGAGGUGAAAUUCGUAGAUAUUCGCAAGAACACCAGUGGCGAAGGCGGCUCACUGGCCCGAUACUGACGCUGAGGUGCGAAAGCGUGGGGAGCAAACAGGAUUAGAUACCCCUGUAGUCC